CGGGGUGUGGCGCAGUUUGGUAGCGCGCGUGCUUUGGGAGCAUGAGGUCCUCGGUUCAAAUCCGGGCACCCCGA
RNAcentral lists this transfer RNA (74 nucleotides) under Bacillota bacterium. RNAcentral describes it as "tRNA-Pro". It matches the Rfam family "tRNA". Rfam says of the family: Transfer RNA (tRNA) molecules are approximately 80 nucleotides in length. Their secondary structure includes four short double-helical elements and three loops (D, anti-codon, and T loops). Lineage: Bacteria; Bacillati; Bacillota. The record is from RNAcentral.